RNAcentral lists this long non-coding RNA (375 nucleotides) under Numida meleagris (helmeted guineafowl). Its description in RNAcentral is "lncRNA (ENSNMEG00000010380.1)". Lineage: Eukaryota; Metazoa; Chordata; Aves; Galliformes; Numididae. The record is from RNAcentral.
AUGCCAGAAUUUGGCAGAAGAGCAAGGCUGGGUCCUCUCCAGCAUCCCACAGCUCUUCCCUGCAAGGGGAAUUUCCAGAUGAUUCUCAUUUUAUACAAGAAAGCAAUUCAAUCCAAAAUAACGCUGGGUUGUUCUCUGCUCACAUGCAUCCUACAAGCUUUCAUUCUUUGCAGAGAAAUGAAGAUGACCGCAGGGCAGGAAAAAUACAACUGCAGUGCUGGAGUCUCAGCUAAGGUGGGGAAUCUGUCAGAUGGGAAAUGUGACUGCACUGACAGACAAGCCUGUGAACCUGCUUGGUGAAGGCGCUUUAUAAACUCCUGCUAGAGAGGCAGAGGAUUUAAUAAAUUAAAGGAGGCAAGAAUGAAGAGGCGAGUC